CUACGGGACGCUGCAGUGGGGAAUAUUGGACAAUGGGGGAAACCCUGAUCCAGCAAUGCCGCGUGUGUGAAGAAGGCCUGCGGGUUGUAAAGCACUUUCGGUUGGGAGGACUGCUUCUAGCACUAAUAUUGUUGGAAGUUGACGUUACCUUCAGAAGAAGCACCGGCUAACUCCGUGCCAGCAGCCGCGGUAAUACGGAGGUGCAAGCGUUAAUCGGAAUUACUGGGCGUAAAGCGCGCGUAGGCGGCUAGAUCAGUCGGGUGUGAAAGCCCCGGGCUUAACCUGGGAACCGCAUCCGAUACUGUCUAGCUUGAGUACAGGAGAGGAGAGUGGAAUUCCACAUGUAGCGGUGAAAUGCGUAGAUAUGUGGAGGAACACCAAUGGCGAAGGCAGCUCUCUGGCCUGAUACUGACGCUGAGGUGCGAAAGCGUGGGGAGCAAACAGGAUUAGAUACCCCCGUAGUC
Molecule: ribosomal RNA, 464 nt
Filed under: uncultured bacterium
Lineage: Bacteria
Description: partial 16S ribosomal RNA
Rfam family: Bacterial small subunit ribosomal RNA
Source: RNAcentral